AGUCGUGAGCGUGCUAAGGUAGUGUAAUAAAUAGCCUCUCAAUUGGAGGCCAGUGAAUGGCAAGACUAGGAACACCUAUACCUUUUAUUUCAAAAAAACUUUUCAUCUGAGUGAAAAGACUCAGAUAAUAAAGGAAGACGAAAAGACCCCGCGGAACUUUACCUUCUCUUACAUUUCUGCUAAGGAGCACAAAAGUGUAAAAGGUUUGAUUGGGGCAAUCUCGGAACCUCACAAGCUUCCGAUUCUUAAAAAAAGAAAUCCAAAACUUAAUGCGGAUCAAAAUAGAAGUUACCCCGGGGAUAACAGCGUUAUCCAACUCAAGAGUACACAUCGAAAGUUGGGUUUGCGACCUCGAUGUUGGCUUAAGGAAAUCCACAUUAGUGCAACCGCUAUGAAAGGACAGUCUGUUCGACUAUUAUACCCUUACACGAGCUGAGUUAAGAACCGA
This 448-nucleotide ribosomal RNA is filed under the name Inversidens brandtii. RNAcentral describes it as "partial 16S rRNA". It matches the Rfam family "Bacterial large subunit ribosomal RNA", at positions 1938 to 2620 of the family's 2925-position model. The record is from RNAcentral. Lineage: Eukaryota; Metazoa; Mollusca; Bivalvia; Unionida; Unionidae.